Molecule: RNA transcript, 3413 nt
Organism: Lolium rigidum
Lineage: Eukaryota; Viridiplantae; Streptophyta; Magnoliopsida; Poales; Poaceae
Gene name: F-box/FBD/LRR-repeat protein At1g13570-like
Exons: 8
Source: RefSeq, a predicted model, not a curated record
GGCUCCUGCUCCUUCACAUAGGGCUCCGCCGGGGAGGAAGGAGGAAGCCCUCGCUAUCCUUCCACUGCUAGCCUCGGAGGCCGAAUUGAGAACCCGUUGCCCGCAUCAGGAGCUCGUUGCCGACUCCGCCGCCCACCCCAAAACCGUCCAUCGCCCGCCAGAUCUCUCAAUCCAUCGUCCCGGCCGGCGAGGCGAUUGGGGAAUAAGAGGAACCGCCGGAGCAUCCACUGCAAUAAAAUAAGAUGGGCAACUAUCUGACAAGCACAAUAUCGGCACAGGAGCAUGAUCAGCAUGUCCAUGUUAGACCAGCGAGGAGACUGACAAACGAAAAGGGAAGGCCGAUUGUUAGGCUCGAAGACCUUCCAGAGGAUGUGCUGCAUACGGUUCUAUCGAAAUUACCUGCAAGAGAGGUCGUGCGGUCCAGCGUCUUGUCGAGAAAGUGGAGAUCCGUGUGGACAACCUGCAUCAAGCUGAGCUUCAAUGACGCCGAUGUGUGCAGUGGGCGUGGCGGUGCGAAAUCGGAACAAGGCACCCAGGUUUUCAUCGACCGUGUCGACGCGGUUCUGCGGAGGCACCGAGGCAGGGCUGUUGACCAGUUUGAGAUCAAGUUUAUAUUCGAGAGCAAGCUCGCUGACCAUCUCGAUAACUGGAUCAGCUUUGCGAUGACAGCCCACACGAAGAAUCUAGCUUUUGAUCUGGCACCACCAUCCAAUUUCCUCAAGCACGGGGAUCAUUACAGGUUCCCGUUUGAACUUCUAGACAGGGAAGGUGCGUCCUGCCUACAGCGUCUUCAGCUUUGCUUUGUGUCUUUCAGACCACCUCCUGCCCAGUUCGUAGGUUUCCCAAACCUAAGAAAGCUUGCUCUCCACGUACUCGACACCACAAAUCAGGAUCUCGACAAUAUCUUGGGCAGUUGCUGUAAACUUGAGUGGCUGAGCAUAGUGAGAUGCCAUCUGAAGGAUGAACUGAAGAACUCUCCACCUUUGUUUAUAAAGGAUCAUUCAUACCUGUUUCCCUCCGUCAUGCUUCGAAACUUGAAAAGGCGAAAAUUUGGUUUUACGAUACAACUUUUCAGCAAGCUAUCACCUCACUUCUCGAUGGGCUUCCGGAUGUACGAAACCUGACAUUGCAGUUUUCAUUUCAACGACUAGAGAACCGAUGGGUGUUAAACAGCCCUCACAUGUUUUCUCAGCUCAGGCAUGUGCAGAUACUGCUCAUCGCAACUGAUGAAGACGCUGACAAAAUUCUCUAUUUAGUUUCCUUUCUGAGGGUUGCUCCCUUUAUUGAAAAGCUUGAAGUACAUUUUCAUUGCCUUCCUACUUUGUGGUUUGCAAAUUGUGGGCCUUUGAGACAACAAAUACCCGCGAAUGAAUACAAAUACGUGAAUCUGAAGAAUGUACGUGUUACAGGAUUUAGAGGAGCAAGAGGCCAAGUUGAAUUCCUUAUGCAUGUUGUGGAGAAUGCCCCUGCGAUACAAGGGGUGACUGUAGAUACAACUCAAAGACUAACUGACGCAUAUGAUCCAGAUGAAGCAACCCCAACACUAGAUAGGGCGGCGCUUGAUAUGGUUAGAGGUCCUGUCCUUAAGGGACUCCCAUCGCAUGCAAAGCUUUCACUUAUUUAAGAUAGAUAUGCAGAGGUAUCUGUGUACUUUUGAACUCCAUGGAAGCAACAAGUGUAGUACAUCAAGCCUGAUUUAAAGGCCAUGUAAAUUUGUAUGUUUUGCCAUAUUGAAUUAAAAGCGGCAUCCCAUCCCAUGAUUUAAAUCCUCAGCGCCUCGGGCUUUCUUGCUGUCAGAUUGGCACUAGAUACCAUCUAAGCACAUCGGCGCUCGGGCGUGGUGGCCGUGACCCCAGCAAGCGAUGUCCUCUUCAUCACCAGCCGGUCGAGGACAAUGCAAUCCACUCCCUCUCUUCCUACGGCUGCCGCACCGCGCCACUCAUGACCUGAGCACUGGAGAUCUGCAGCGUCCGGUGCUCUGGCUGCAAGGAGAUCCAUCUUUCAUGUCAUGUCUCCUUUACCGUGUUGUGCUCACGGCACAUUGUCCUAAUGCUUGCAAAGGUAACCCGCUCAAUCUUAUUACAGUUUAUGAUAGUUAUAGUAGCCUGCGAAUGUACCAUGGAUUAGACUGUUGUAAUUGCAGUGCAGACUUCAAUAUUAAGAUGGACUGAUGUCGCCUUGAUCCCCUUCUCUACAGAACAUUCUGCUCACUGAUGAGCAUCUUUAAUUUUUCUAUGCAUUUGGUGUUGGGUGUUGAUAACUGCUUGCUUUUAUUAUCUCAUCAUGUGUGACAGCUCUGGAGUUGGAAUCACCUGAUCAAAUGAACAAGCUUCUUCUAGCACUCGUAAGGGAGGAGGCGGAGGAAAUCUUUAGGCUUCAGCAAACAAGUUGUGAUUCUCUGGUUUCUUCUUCCACAUAAGCGGUGGUGUAGGAAGCAUGUGCCUCUCGGGGGUGGAUGAUCCGAGAGGUGAUCUCUUUUUGUCUGAGACAGUUUCAGCUACCAUACAACAAACAAUAAUAUCAGGCCAUUUGGUUCCAUUUAUUUUUCUACAUACUGCAUACAUAGGUUUCUAACUUUGAGGUAGCUGCUUGUCUUUAGUUUUCUGUGGAGCUUCAAGUUCUCUAUAUAUGAUCUUAUAAUUUUUUUUUUCUUGUGCUGUUUUAUUUGAAUAGCUUCCCUUAGUUAUGCAGGUUUAGUACAUUUUUCAAUAUUCUGCUCAUUGUGAUCCAACUAAAUUAACCCAACAAUUUGAGGCUCUCAUGCACGUCAGCAGCAGCCAGUGCAGGUUAAUCCUGUCUGGGACAAACUCUGGAAGUUGUCGGUUCCAAGUAAAGUUCAGAUUUUUCUCUGGAAGGCGCUUCAUGAGGCUGUGCCGGGAAGGGCAGUAUUAGCAGCAAGACACAUUAACGACUUGGAAUAAACCUUUUCCGGGUUGUUAUAAAUUGAAUACCGAUGCUUCUUUCUUUGGUGAUGGUUCAGCAGCAGUUGGUGUAGUUUUGAGAAAUACCAGCGGUGAGGCAAUUGCGGGCGAGUACUGUCCGUUGGAAAAUGUUUUAUCUGCAGCUACUGCAGAAGCUUUGGCUCUCCUAACGGGACUGAAACUUUUGGAGUUUGUGGGAUGCAACAAUGUGACGAUUGAGGCAGAUUCUUUGGAGUUGAUACAGGCCUGUAAUGGUACCAUUGAAAUUUGGAAUCCUAUGCCUUUUGAAGGCGAGCAAUAUUCAGAAUAUAACUUUCAAGCUCUAUCCGAGGGAGGCUAAUUGAGUGGCGCAUGAACUAGCUAGAUUUGCUUCUGAAACAAAGGAGAGUUUUGUAUGGGAUGGUGAUCCACCUGGGUUCAUCCACCCUUUUAUUUUGCAUGAUGUAACUCUUCUGUCAAUGAAAUAAAACGCCAUAGAGGCUUCCCUUUCAA